GAUGAACGCUGGCGGCGUGCCUAAUACAUGCAAGUCGAGCGAGCAGACGAGGAGCUUGCUCCUCUGACGUUAGCGGCGGACGGGUGAGUAACACGUGGAUAACCUACCUAUAAGACUGGGAUAACUUCGGGAAACCGGAGCUAAUACCGGAUAAUAUAUUGAACCGCAUGGUUCAAUAGUGAAAGACGGUUUUGCUGUCACUUAUAGAUGGAUCCGCGCCGCAUUAGCUAGUUGGUAAGGUAACGGCUUACCAAGGCAACGAUGCGUAGCCGACCUGGGAGGGUGAUCGGCCACACUGGAACUGAGACACGGUCCAGACUCCUACGGGAGGCAGCAGUAGGGAAUCUUCCGCAAUGGGCGAAAGCCUGACGGAGCAACGCCGCGUGAGUGAUGAAGGUCUUCGGAUCGUAAAACUCUGUUAUUAGGGAAGAACAAAUGUGUAAGUAACUAUGCACGUCUUGACGGUACCUAAUCAGAAAGCCACGGCUAACUACGUG
Molecule: ribosomal RNA, 497 nt
Filed under: uncultured bacterium
Lineage: Bacteria
Description: partial 16S ribosomal RNA
Rfam family: Bacterial small subunit ribosomal RNA
Source: RNAcentral